RNAcentral lists this ribosomal RNA (253 nucleotides) under uncultured prokaryote. Its description in RNAcentral is "partial 16S ribosomal RNA". It matches the Rfam family "Bacterial small subunit ribosomal RNA", at positions 524 to 776 of the family's 1533-position model. The record is from RNAcentral.
UACGAGGGGGGCGAGCGUUGUUCGGAAUUAUUGGGCGUAAAGGGCGCGUAGGCGGUUUGUUAAGUCAGCUGUGAAAGCCCGGGGCUCAACCCCGGAGAGUCGACUGAUACUGGCAGACUAGAGUACGGAAGAGGUAGCUGGAAUUCCCGGUGUAGCGGUGAAAUGCGUAGAUAUCUGGAGGAACACCGGUGGCGAAGGCGGCAUCCUGGACCGGCAUUGACGCUGAGGCGCGAAAGCCAGGGGAGCAAACGGG